RNAcentral lists this ribosomal RNA (425 nucleotides) under uncultured bacterium. Its description in RNAcentral is "partial 16S ribosomal RNA". It matches the Rfam family "Bacterial small subunit ribosomal RNA", at positions 354 to 796 of the family's 1533-position model. The record is from RNAcentral.
GUGGGGAAUCUUGCGCAAUGGGCGAAAGCCUGACGCAGCCAUGCCGCGUGAAUGAUGAAGGUCUUAGGAUUGUAAAAUUCUUUCACCGGGGACGAUAAUGACGGUACCCGGAGAAGAAGCUCCGGCUAACUUCGUGCCAGCAGCCGCGGUAAUACGAAGGGGGCUAGCGUUGCUCGGAAUUACUGGGCGUAAAGGGCGCGUAGGCGGACAGCUUAGUCAGAGGUGAAAGCCCAGGGCUCAACCUUGGAAUUGCCUUUGAUACUGGCUGUCUUGAGUGUGGGAGAGGUGAGUGGAACUCCGAGUGUAGAGGUGAAAUUCGUAGAUAUUCGGAGGAACAGCAGUGGCGAAGGCGGCUCACUGGCUCGAUACUGACGCUGAGGUGCGAAAGCGUGGGGAGCAAACAGGAUUAGAUACCCCAGUAGUCC